This 249-nucleotide ribosomal RNA is filed under the name uncultured bacterium. Its description in RNAcentral is "partial 16S ribosomal RNA". It matches the Rfam family "Bacterial small subunit ribosomal RNA", at positions 796 to 1041 of the family's 1533-position model. The record is from RNAcentral.
CACGCCCUAAACGAUGUCAACUAGGUGUUGGGUGGGUAAAACCAUUUAGUACCGGAGCUAACGCGUGAAGUUGACCGCCUGGGGAGUACGGCCGCAAGGUUAAAACUCAAAGGAAUUGACGGGGACCCGCACAAGCGGUGGAUGAUGUGGAUUAAUUCGAUGCAACGCGAAAAACCUUACCUACCCUUGACAUGUCCAGAAGCCUGAAGAGAUUUGGGUGUGCCCGAAAGGGAGCUGGAACACAGGUGC